GAUGAAGAACGUAGCGAAAUGCGAUAAGUAGUGUGAAUUGCAGAAUUCAGUGAAUCAUCGAAUCUUUGAACGCACAUUGCGCCCCUUGGUAUCCCGAGGGGCAUGCCUGUUCGAGCGUCAUUUCACCACUCAAGCCUGGCCUGGUGUUGGGCGACGUCCUCUUUGGGGACGCGCCUCGAAACGCUCGGCGGCGUGGCACCGGCUUUAAGCGUAGCAGAAUCUUUCGCUUUGGAAGUCGGGGCCCCGUCUGCCGGAAGACCUGCUCGCAAGGUUGACCUCGGAUCAGGCAGGGAUACCCGCUGAACUUAAGCAUAUCAAUAAGCGGAGGA
This 329-nucleotide unclassified non-coding RNA is filed under the name soil metagenome. Its description in RNAcentral is "partial contains 5.8S ribosomal RNA, internal transcribed spacer 2, and large subunit ribosomal RNA". The stretch from base 1 to 120 matches the Rfam family "5.8S ribosomal RNA", at positions 35 to 154 of the family's 154-position model. The record is from RNAcentral.